Long non-coding RNA from Trematomus bernacchii (emerald rockcod), 148 nucleotides. RefSeq lists it as uncharacterized. The record is from RefSeq and is a predicted model, not a curated record. The transcript has 3 exons. NCBI's taxonomy places the organism in Eukaryota, Metazoa, Chordata, Actinopteri, Perciformes, Nototheniidae.
CUGAGAGAUCUUCUGGAGAGUCCAGACUGCAGACUGGAGACCCUCAGGAUCAGAUAUGAUGAGACGAUCAGAGCCAAGAUCCAGAAGAACUGAACUCCCAUCCCCCGAGUCCUGCGGCAGGAAGCGCUCCUUCUCUCCAAGAACUCCU